AGCAGCCGCGGUAAUUCCAGCUCCAAUAGCGUAUAUUAAAGUUGUUGCAGUUAAAAAGCUCGUAGUUGAAUUUCGGGAUCAAUAUGUUGGUCGUGCCUUGGUACGUACUGGCAUUAUUGGUUUCUACCUUCUGAAGAACCUCGAUGUCAUUAAUUUGGUGUCUUGGGGAAUCAGGACUGUUACUUUGAAAAAUUAGAGUGUUUAAAGCAGGCUCGCGCUUGAAUACAUUAGCAUGGAAUAAUGAAAUAGGACGUUUGAUUCUAUUUUGUUGGUUUCUAGGAUUGACGUAACGAUUAAUAGGGAUAGUUGGGGGCAUUAGUAUUCAAUUGUCAGAGGUGAAAUUCUUGGAUUUAUUGAAGACUAACUACUGCGAAAGCAUUUGCCAAGGAUGUUUUCAUUAAUCAAGAACGAAGUUAGGGGAUCGAAGACGAUCAGAUACCGUCGUAGUCUUAACCAUAAACUAUGC
This 466-nucleotide ribosomal RNA is filed under the name uncultured Glomus. Its description in RNAcentral is "SSU rRNA". It matches the Rfam family "Eukaryotic small subunit ribosomal RNA", at positions 569 to 1042 of the family's 1831-position model. The record is from RNAcentral. Lineage: Eukaryota; Fungi; Glomeromycota; Glomeromycetes; Glomerales; Glomeraceae.